This 492-nucleotide ribosomal RNA is filed under the name uncultured bacterium. RNAcentral describes it as "partial 16S ribosomal RNA". It matches the Rfam family "Bacterial small subunit ribosomal RNA", at positions 33 to 507 of the family's 1533-position model. The record is from RNAcentral.
CUUUCACUCUGGCGGUAGGCCUAACACAUGCAAGUCGAACGGCAGCACAGUAAGAGCUUGCUCUUACGGGUGGCGAGUGGCGGACGGGUGAGGAAUACAUCGGAAUCUACUUUUUCGUGGGGGAUAACGUAGGGAAACUUACGCUAAUACCGCAUACGACCUACGGGUGAAAGCAGGGGAUCUUCGGACCUUGCGCGAUUGAAUGAGCCGAUGUCGGAUUAGCUAGUUGGCGGGGUAAAGGCCCACCAAGGCGACGAUCCGUAGCUGGUCUGAGAGGAUGAUCAGCCACACUGGAACUGAGACACGGUCCAGACUCCUACGGGAGGCAGCAGUGGGGAAUAUUGGACAAUGGGCGCAAGCCUGAUCCAGCCAUACCGCGUGGGUGAAGAAGGCCUUCGGGUUGUAAAGCCCUUUUGUUGGGAAAGAAAAGCAGCAGGUUAAUACCCCGCUGUUCUGACGGUACCCAAAGAAUAAGCACCGGCUAACUUCGUG